This 274-nucleotide ribosomal RNA is filed under the name uncultured Legionella sp. RNAcentral's name for it is "partial 16S ribosomal RNA". It matches the Rfam family "Bacterial small subunit ribosomal RNA", at positions 552 to 825 of the family's 1533-position model. Lineage: Bacteria; Pseudomonadati; Pseudomonadota; Gammaproteobacteria; Legionellales; Legionellaceae. The record is from RNAcentral.
UACUGGGCGUAAAGGGUUCGUAGGUGGUUAAUUAAGUUAUCUGUGAAAUCCCCGGGCUCAACCUGGGCAGGUCAGAUAAUACUGGUUAACUCGAGUAUGGGAGAGGGUAGUGGAAUUUCCGGUGUAGCGGUGAAAUGCGUAGAGAUCGGAAGGAACACCAGUGGCGAAGGCGGCUACCUGGCCUAAUACUGACACUGAGGAACGAAAGCGUGGGGAGCAAACAGGAUUAGAUACCCUGGUAGUCCACGCUGUAAACGAUGUCAACUAGCUGUUG